Molecule: long non-coding RNA, 536 nt
Filed under: Solanum melongena (eggplant)
Lineage: Eukaryota; Viridiplantae; Streptophyta; Magnoliopsida; Solanales; Solanaceae
Description: long non-coding RNA (SMEL_LNC000029)
Source: RNAcentral
UAGCGACUAAUAAUUUAGAAUCAGAAUAGGUCCAGUCUAGGGGAAAAAUCAAUAGGAAAUGCUAUUUGCUUCGUAAGAAUAAGAAUGAACUUCUAUGAAAUGAAAGAGUUUCACGGGAAUUGUCUUCAUCGUCGGAUAUCAUUGAGAAAGAAAUUGGAAGAAGUGUUAUCGAACAAUUUCCUGCAAUUCUUACCAUGAUGGAAUUAGUAAAGAAUCAAGCUACAAGUCUCGAUCUAUACGAAAGGCACUUGUUUUUUUCUUUCUUUUGGUUUCAUUGAUAAUAGAAAAGACUUACUCUAAAGGGGCGCUAGCGCUUGACUAAUAAGAUAUCAAAGGGGCCUGAAAAAACGUAAGAGGCUGCUACUCUAGGCUCGCUUCGCUUUUUCAAGCUCCGCCCCUUCUUUCAAAAAUCAACAAACAGCGCUAUCGAGCAAGAAAGGGUGAUGCGCUAAGUCUCAACGGCUUUCGCGCAGCUGCUACACCCUUACUUCUUGCCUUAUCUUACUUAGUAAAGCAACCUUUCGCGCUAGGCGCUC